Molecule: transfer RNA, 90 nt
Filed under: Fusarium fujikuroi
Lineage: Eukaryota; Fungi; Ascomycota; Sordariomycetes; Hypocreales; Nectriaceae
Also listed under: 2 other names
Description: tRNA-Ala for anticodon AGC
Rfam family: tRNA
About the family: Transfer RNA (tRNA) molecules are approximately 80 nucleotides in length.
Source: RNAcentral
GGGCGAAUGGUUUAGUGGUAUAAUACUCCCUUAGCAUGAUUCAUCCGAACAAUCUGGGAGUGGUCCAGGGUUCGAUUCCCUGUUCGUCCA